RNAcentral lists this ribosomal RNA (496 nucleotides) under uncultured bacterium. Its description in RNAcentral is "partial 16S ribosomal RNA". It matches the Rfam family "Bacterial small subunit ribosomal RNA", at positions 28 to 506 of the family's 1533-position model. The record is from RNAcentral.
GAUGAACGCUGGCGGCGUGCCUAAUACAUGCCAGUCGAGCGAACGGACGAGAAGCUUGCUUUUCUGAUGUUAGCGGCGGACGGGUGAGUAACACGUGGAUAACCUACCUAUAAGACUGGGAUAACUUCGGGAAACCGGAGCUAAUACCGGAUAAUAUUUUGAACCGCAUGGUUCAAAAGUGAAAGACGGUCUUGCUGUCACUUAUAGAUGGAUCCGCGCUGCAUUAGCUAGUUGGUAAGGUAACGGCUUACCAAGGCAACGAUGCAUAGCCGACCUGAGAGGGGGGUCGGCCACACUGGAAGUGGGACAGGGUCCAGACACCAAGGGGAGGCAGGAGGGGGGAAACUUCCGGAGAGGGGGAAAGCCUGGGGGGGAAACGCCGGGGAGGAGAAGAAGGUCUUCGGAUCGAAAAACGCUGUUAUUAGGGAAAAAAAAAUGUGUAGGAAACGGGGCCCAUCUGGACGGUCCCUAUACAAAAAGCCCCGGCAACCUACGG